Molecule: ribosomal RNA, 253 nt
Filed under: uncultured bacterium
Lineage: Bacteria
Description: partial 16S ribosomal RNA
Rfam family: Bacterial small subunit ribosomal RNA
Source: RNAcentral
UACAGAGGGUGCAAGCGUUGCUCGGAUUUACUGGGCGUAAAGCGUACGCAGCCGGCCACGCAGGUCGGGUGUGAAAGCCCCGGGCUCAACCCGGGAAUUGCAUUCGAAACCAUGUGGCUCGAGGAUGGAAGAGGAGAGCGGAAUUCCACGUGUAGCGGUGAAAUGCGUAGAGAUGUGGAGGAACACCAGUGGCGAAGGCGGCUCUCUGGACUGUAACUGACGCUGAGGCGCGAAAGCGUGGGGAGCAAACAGG